CCCCCCCCGGGGGGGCUCGGUGCCGCCUCGUCAAGGGCUCGGUUCUGCUUUUGGACCCGCUGUUUAAUUAACACCCGGCCGGGGCCCCCGCCCAGGAAGGAGCCCGUGUGGGGCUGAUGGCCGCGUGGCCACCUGGGGCCCAGCCGACCGGGCCUGGGGGUGUUUUCCUGAUGGUGCCUCUUCCCCCCGGAGCAUCGUGGGGGGGCCCAGCCCCGACCUUGGGGGCCCAUCCCGACUUCUCCUCAUCCCUUUGGGGUCACAUCCCAACUUCUCCUCAUCCUUUUGGGAGCCCAUCCCUGACCUUGGGGGCCCAUCCCGACUUCUCAUCCCUUCAGAGUCACAUCCCAGCUUCUCCUCCUCCCUUUGGAGCCACAUCCCAGCUUCUCAUCCUUUUGGGGUCACAUCCCUGCCUUUGGGGUCACAUCCCAACUUCUCCUCAUCCCUUCAGAGUCACAUCCCUGACUUUGGGGUCACAUCCCAAAUUCUCAUCCCUUCAGGGUCACAUCCCAACUUCUCCUCAUCCCUUCAGAGUCACAUCCCUGACUUUGGGGUCACAUCCCAAAUUCUCAUCCCUUCAGGGUCACAUCCCAACUUCUCCUCAUCCCUUCAGAGUCACAUCCCUGACUUUGGGGUCACAUCCCAAAUUCUCAUCCCUUCAGGGUCACAUCCCAACUUCUCCUCAUCCCUUCAGAGUCACAUCCCUGACUUUGGGGUCACAUCCCAAAUUCUCAUCCCUUCGGGGUCACAUCCCAGCAUCUCCUCCUCCCUUUGGAGCCACAUCCCAGCUUCUCAUCCUUUUGGGGUCACAUCCCUGCCUUUGGGGUCACAUCCCAACUUCUCCUCAUCCCUUCAGAGUCACAUCCCUGACUUUGGGGUCACAUCCCAAAUUCUCAUCCCUUCAGGGUCACAUCCCAACUUCUCCUCAUCCCUUUGGGGUCACAUCCCUGACUUUGGGGUCACAUCCCAGCUCCUCCUCAUCCCUUUGGGGUCGAAUCCCAACUUCUCACCCCUUUGGGGUCACAUCCCUGCCUUUGGGGUCACAUCCCUGCCUUUGGGGUCACACCCCCACCUCCGUGGGCGCACCCCCACCCUACGUGUGCUCACCCCACCCCAUUUCCGCAGGGAUUUGCGGGGCCGGAGCCGUUUCCUUGGCCGUGGCAGCGGGUUUUUGCGGGGGGGCAUCUCUGCCGCGGGAGAGGGGUGGCACCUCCCGGCCCCAUCCGGUGCCUUUUGGGGCCAUGACACCCGGUGUCACUCCCGGUGGCCCCACGUGUCCCCGUCCCCUUGGGCCACCAUCGAGUGUCACCGGGCUCGGAAACGCCCGGAAAAGGGACAUUUCUUCCUUUAAAUUAUUUUCCCCCCAGAGGGGGUGAGUGGCUUUGCCCCCUGGGGGUGGGGGGUGACACUUGGGGACCAGGUCCCCCCCCAAAAACCUCCCUCCCCCCCCUCCCCGGUCUCCUGGCAACCCGGGGAGCGUUAUCUCUGGCGGGGAGCGGGAUAAAUCCGAUAAAUCCCGGCUUCUCCCGGGCAGGAGUUAAUGUUCAACCCGGGCGAGGUUCAACCCCCGGGGCCUCCACCGAGCUGGCAUUUUAAGGGGAAAAAAAGCUAUUUUUUUUCCCCAAAUAUCACUUUUUUCCCCACUUUCCAGGGCUGGGAACCUGGAUGGGAAAGUGGCUUUUUUUGUGUCCCCCCAAAAAAGCCGGUGGGAAGCGGGGCCGGCAUCGAUUUGCUCUGGUUGGGACAAAAAUGGGACAG
This 1755-nucleotide long non-coding RNA is filed under the name Calidris pugnax (ruff). RNAcentral's name for it is "lncRNA (ENSCPUG00000008881.1)". The record is from RNAcentral. Lineage: Eukaryota; Metazoa; Chordata; Aves; Charadriiformes; Scolopacidae.